GCGUUGAUCAUCUGUUACUACUAUCGACUCCUACUUGGUGGGGUCGAGUUGAAAACCCCAAUCCGAACUGAGACCGGCUUUUAGGGAUUCGCUCCGCCUUACAGCAUCCCAGCCCUUUGUACCGGUCAUUGUAGCAUGCGNGAAGCCCUGGACAUAACGGGCAUGAUGACUUGACUUCAUCCCCACCUUCCUCCGAGUUGACCCCGGCCGUCUCCUAUGAGUCCCCAUCAGCCCGAAGGGCAUGCUGGCAACAUAGAACGAGGGUUGCGUUCGUUGCGGGACUUAACCCAACAUCUCACGACACGAGCUGACGACAGCCAUGCACCACCUGUACACCGACAAAAAGGGGCCAUAUCUCUACUGUUUUCCGGUGUAUGUCAAACCCAGGUAAGGUUCUUCGCGUUGCAUCGAACUAAUCCGCACGCUCCGCCGCUAGUGCGGGCCCCUGUCAAUUCCUUUGAGUUUUAGCCUUGCGGCCGUACUCCCCAGGUGGNGUGCUUAAUGCGUUAGCUGCGGCACGGAACCCAUGGAAUAUGCCCCACACCUAGCGCCCAACGGUUACNGUGUGGAUUACCAGGGUAUCUAAUCCUGCUCGCUCCCCACACUUUCGCUCCUCAGUGUCAGGCAAUGCCCAGAGAACCGCCUUCGUCACCGGUGUUUCCUCCUGAUAUCUGCUCAUUUCACCGUCUUCUCCAGGAAUUUCCGUUCUCCCUUGCAUAC
This 720-nucleotide ribosomal RNA is filed under the name Nocardioides sp. HL6131. RNAcentral describes it as "partial 16S ribosomal RNA". Lineage: Bacteria; Bacillati; Actinomycetota; Actinomycetes; Propionibacteriales; Nocardioidaceae. The record is from RNAcentral.